GGAAUCUGCCUGGUAGUGGGGGACAACGUUUCGAAAGGAACGCUAAUACCGCAUACGUCCUACGGGAGAAAGCAGGGGACCUUCGGGCCUUGCGCUAUCAGAUGAGCCUAGGUCGGAUUAGCUAGUUGGUGGGGUAAUGGCUCACCAAGGCGACGAUCCGUAACUGGUCUGAGAGGAUGAUCAGUCACACUGGAACUGAGACACGGUCCAGACUCCUACGGGAGGCAGCAGUGGGGAAUAUUGGACAAUGGGCGAAAGCCUGAUCCAGCCAUGCCGCGUGUGUGAAGAAGGUCUUCGGAUUGUAAAGCACUUUAAGUUGGGAGGAAGGGCAGUAAGUUAAUACCUUGCUGUUUUGACGUUACCGACAGAAUAAGCACCGGCUAACUCUGUGCCAGCAGCCGCGGUAAUACAGAGGGUGCAAGCGUUAAUCGGAAUUACUGGGCGUAAAGCGCGCGUAGGUGGUUCGUUAAGUUGGAUGUGAAAGCCCCGGGCUCAACCUGGGAACUGCAUCCAAAACUGGCGAGCUAGAGUACGGUAGAGGGU
Molecule: ribosomal RNA, 543 nt
Filed under: Pseudomonas putida
Lineage: Bacteria; Pseudomonadati; Pseudomonadota; Gammaproteobacteria; Pseudomonadales; Pseudomonadaceae
Description: bacterial SSU rRNA
Rfam family: Bacterial small subunit ribosomal RNA
Source: RNAcentral